GGAAUUAUUGGGCGUAAAGAGCUCGUAGGCGGUUUGUCGCGUCUGUCGUGAAAGUCCGGGGCUUAACCCCGGGAUCUGCGGUGGGUACGGGCAGACUAGAGUGCAGUAGGGGAGACUGGAAUUCCUGGUGUAGCGGUGGAAUGCGCAGAUAUCAGGAGGAACACCGAUGGCGAAGGCAGGUCUCUGGGCUGUAACUGACGCUGAGGAGCGAAAGCAUGGGGAGCGAACAGGAUUAGAUACCCUGGUAGUCCAUGCCGUAAACGUUGGGCACUAGGUGUGGGGACCAUUCCACGGUUUCCGCGCCGCAGCUAACGCAUUAAGUGCCCCGCCUGGGGAGUACGGCCGCAAGGCUAAAACUCAAAGGAAUUGACGGGGGCCCGCACAAGCGGCGGAGCAUGCGGAUUAAUUCGAUGCAACGCGAAGAACCUUACCAAGGCUUGACAUGUUCUCGAUCGCCGUAGAGAUACGGUUUCCCCUUUGGGGCGGGUUCACAGGUGGUGCAUGGUUGUCGUCAGCUCGUGUCGUGAGAUGUUGGGUUAAGUCCCGCAACGAGCGCAACCCUCGUUCCAUGUUGCCAGCACGUAAUGGUGGGGACUCAUGGGAGACUGCCGGGGUCAACUCGGAGGAAGGUGAGGACGACGUCAAAUCAUCAUGCCCCUUAUGUCUUGGGCUUCACGCAUGCUACAAUGGCCGGUACAAUGGGUUGCGAUACUGUGAGGUGGAGCUAAUCCCAAAAAGCCGGUCUCAGUUCGGAUUGGGGUCUGCAACUCGACCCCAUGAAGUCGGAGUCGCUAGUAAUCGCAGAUCAGCAACGCUGCGGUGAAUACGUUCCCGGGCCUUGUACACACCGCCCGUCAAGUCACGAAAGUUGGUAACACCCGAAGCCGG
RNAcentral lists this ribosomal RNA (888 nucleotides) under Micrococcus sp. RNAcentral describes it as "bacterial SSU rRNA". It matches the Rfam family "Bacterial small subunit ribosomal RNA", at positions 547 to 1430 of the family's 1533-position model. The record is from RNAcentral. Lineage: Bacteria; Bacillati; Actinomycetota; Actinomycetes; Micrococcales; Micrococcaceae.